AGGGACUCCGGUACGAGUGACAGGACAUGAACCCGCUCCUGCUCCCUGUGUGUUUGGGGUUCGUGGUCGCCCUGCCGCCGGUACAGAAUGCCAAGGAGAGCCGGUUUAGUCAGCAUGACGCGGCGCAUUACAGGGAUCGAGUGAAGUCCAUGUUUUAUCACGCUUACAACAAUUACCUGGAGAAUGCCUUUCCGUAUGAUGAGUUGCGACCUCUUACCUGUGAUGGACAAGAUACGUGGGGCAGGUGAUUAGACUGCAUCGAGAAAAACAUGAUUAAGUAGUAAAUUGCCGAAUAUUGUAGGAGAGUACCAGACAAUAGAGAAAGAUUAAAUAGGAAUGAAGAA
Long non-coding RNA from Spea bombifrons (plains spadefoot toad), 344 nucleotides. RefSeq lists it as uncharacterized. Lineage: Eukaryota; Metazoa; Chordata; Amphibia; Anura; Pelobatidae. The transcript is spliced from 2 exons. The record is from RefSeq and is a predicted model, not a curated record.